Molecule: ribosomal RNA, 500 nt
Filed under: uncultured bacterium
Lineage: Bacteria
Description: partial 16S ribosomal RNA
Rfam family: Bacterial small subunit ribosomal RNA
Source: RNAcentral
AUUGAACGCUGGCGGAAUGCUUUACACAUGCAAGUCGAACGGCAGCACGGACUUCGGUCUGGUGGCGAGUGGCGAACGGGUGAGUAAUGUAUCGGAACGUGCCCAGUCGUGGGGGAUAACGUAGUGAAAAUUACGCUAAUACCGCAUACGAUCUAUGGAUGAAAGCGGGGGAUCGCAAGACCUCGCGCGAUUGGAGCGGCCGAUAUCAGAUUAGGUAGUUGGUGGGGUAAAGGCCCACCAAGCCAACGAUCGGUAGCUGGCCUGGGAGGACGACCAGCCACACUGGAACUGAGACACGGUCCAGACUCCUACGGGAGGCAGCAGCGGGGAAUUUUGGACAAUGGGCGAAAGCCUGAUCCAGCCAUUCCGCGUGCGGGAUGAAGGCCCUCGGGUUGUAAACUGCUUUUGUACAGAACGAAAAGGUUUCUACUAAUACUAGGAGCUCAUGACGGUACUGUAAGAAUAAGCACCGGCUAACUACGUGCCAGCCGCCGCAGUAA